GAUGAACGCUGGCGGCGUGCCUAAUACAUGCAAGUCGAGCGAACGGACGAGAAGCUUGCUUCUCUGAUGUUAGCGGCGGACGGGUGAGUAACACGUGGAUAACCUACCUAUAAGACUGGGAUAACUUCGGGAAACCGGAGCUAAUACCGGCUAAUAUUUUGAACCGCAUGGUUCAAAAGUGAAAGACGGUCUUGCUGUCACUUAUCGAUGGAUCCGCGCUGCAUUAGCUAGUUGGUAAGGUAACGGCUUACCAAGGCAACGAUGCAUAGCCGACCUGAGAGGGUGAUCGGCCACACUGGAACUGAGACACGGUCCAGACUCCUACGGGAGGCAGCAGUAGGGAAUCUUCCGCAAGGGGCGAAAGCCUGACGGAGCAACGCCGCGUGAGUGAUGAAGGUCUUCGGAUCGUAAAACUCUGUUAUUAGGGAAGAACAUAUGUGUAAGUAACUGUGCACAUCUUGACGGUACCUAAUCAGAAAGCCACGGCUAACUACGUG
RNAcentral lists this ribosomal RNA (497 nucleotides) under uncultured bacterium. RNAcentral's name for it is "partial 16S ribosomal RNA". It matches the Rfam family "Bacterial small subunit ribosomal RNA", at positions 28 to 507 of the family's 1533-position model. The record is from RNAcentral.